This is a long non-coding RNA of Centrocercus urophasianus (Greater sage-grouse), 1870 nucleotides long. RefSeq lists it as uncharacterized. Lineage: Eukaryota; Metazoa; Chordata; Aves; Galliformes; Phasianidae. The record is from RefSeq and is a predicted model, not a curated record. The transcript has 4 exons.
CAGGUAUUGCUGUUACGUGGAUUGAGAGGAGACAUGUUGGACAAUCCCACAGCAAUGGCAAAAGCUGUGACCUUUCUGGAGCUCAGCUUUAACCAAUAAAGGACAAGGAAUUUGCCUUUGUUAACGCUGUGUCUCUGUGCCUUGCUGCUGCUGAGGACCCAGGCGCUGGCUGAGGACCAGUGUGGUGCGCUGUGCAACACCCCCACACAGAAUGCAUUCGUCCAAGGGGCACAGAAGGACUCCAGCAAGAAGUGAGAAUUCAAGUGCUUUUAAAAAGCAGCAGCAGUAGUCAGCCCAACUAGCAUACAGCAAGAAUCAAGCACCUGAGGAGCAGUGCCCUUAGUCAAAAACUCAAGGCUGGCCACCAGAUGGUCCCUGCCAGUGAGGGAGAACAAUCAGCUACUUUGCAAUGGGAACUAUAGAAAAUCAGUGGAGAAUGACAUAUUGGCAUGAAGCAGAAAAAAAUACACAAUUAAUGUAUGUAAGAAAGAAAAAUUCCUUCCACCAUCUGAAGUGCAUUUAAGUUGUCUUUGUGAUCAGUGCCUUGCAUUGCUAUGAAGGCUCCCAACAUCACCGGUUUUCCAUGGGAAAGCAAGCUGCCUCACUUGCAAUUGUGCCCCAGAGAAGAGGUAGAGGGCUGUGUCCAGAUUGCUCCAGCCAGAAGAAACCUGCCUGCCUGCUGUGAUGCAGAUCUACUGAAUGGAUUUACGGGAAUAAAUGUCCUGUGAAGGGUUGGCAUGCAGGAGAUAUAUUCAAAUGAAUAAAAUAUCAGGUAUGUUUUAACUGUAACACUGACUUGGACCAAAAAAACUCAACUAAAGAAAUGCGCAUUUCAGAUGAUGGCUGUUUGACCAUGGCCUUCUAAAAUUUUGUUACAUGGAAAAGGAACAGGCUGUUGUAUAAUUGCCAGCUGUAUGACUUCUCUGUCCUCCUUCAAUCCAUACAGCAUAGGACAUCGUUUAAGAACUGCUUUAGAUGAAUAACUGUGCUUUCUCAACAUUACAGAAUUGAAAUACUUGGCAUGUUUUAAAUGCAGCUUGGUCUGAUCAUUAGUUUUUUUUUCUCCUAAUGUGUUUUAUUUUAUGCACUCAUUCCCUAUUUCACAUACUUAAGUAGCUCAGAGAAAUGAGCAACCUCAAGGCACACACACUCCUUGCAGAGUACAGGACCCAAUCCAGUUCACAUCGUAGGAAAAAAUUCUGAAUCCUUUGGCUCCAUCUCUAAGAGAAAGUUCAAGUUUCCGAUCUACGACAGCUGUUAGUACUCCACUGAACAUUUCAUGUUCAAACCUGUACUUUGAAAAUUUGCACCAGCUUUGCCACAAGCUUCACGAGCCAGAUGUGGGCACUGCUGCUCACCAGUUAGAGCAGACUCAAAUGUGCCCCUGGGUUUGGAGGGCAAAACUGCCGGCACCGUGUGCCACACACCAAUGAAGCACAGCAUAUCCACUCUGCUCUGGUGAUCUUUCAACCACAAAGCAUUGUUCUGCAACGACAACUGAUACUGAGGAGGAGCAGGAACCUUUCUGUGCACCUAGGAGUAGUUUUUCCAACAUGGCACCCUAAGGAAUGAAGCUGAUACGACUGAUAACACUUUCUGAACAAAUUUAAUAGGUUGAAAGACAUUUCCUGUAAGUUGCCUGGAAAUAAACAGUCAAGUAAAGGAAAACAGUUACAUGGAUGUUUCCAGUGUGGAGAAGAUUGCAGCCUGAGCUCAGAUUUUAUUGCACGUUAUAAAAUCUAUUCCACAGAGAGCUAGCGUGUGUGUCUUGAGUAUGAAAAAGCUUCAUGCACCCUAUCAUAGGUCAUGUAAUUGCAAUGUGAGACAGAAACCAUAAUCAAUUAGUAAUGCUGCUCCUUAAACUACUGAC